Equus caballus (horse) is the source of this 6450-nucleotide non-coding RNA. NCBI's taxonomy places the organism in Eukaryota, Metazoa, Chordata, Mammalia, Perissodactyla, Equidae. The record is from RefSeq and is a predicted model, not a curated record.
CUGUAGGUUUUUUUGGUCACUGACAGCUAUUAGAUUUUCUCUUUAUUGUUGAAGAUCAGAAAUAUCAUCAGGAUUUGCCUGGAUUCAAGCAUUGUUCCUCAGCAUUUCAUGGCAACUUCCAAGUUGAAGACAUAUCUUCUUUGGUCCAAGAAAUUUUUAUUUUACUAUUUCUUGGCUUAGUUCUGUCUAUUCUAUUUCAGACUCCUAACUGACAGAUAUUGGGUUUCUUGAAACUCUCCUGCAAUCCCUUAAGACUUCUCUAAUCUUUUUAACGUGACUGUUUAGUCCACAUUUAGGGAGAUUUCUUCUAUUUUAACUUCCAGUUUACUAAUCUGGCUGUCAAUUACUCACUCCUAUCACUGAAUAUUUUAUUUUGACCAUCAUGUAGGGUUUUUGAAUUUUUUUUUUUAUUACCAAGAAUUCUCCAUUUUCAUUGCAACCUAUUUUCAUGUUAGAAGUUAAGUUCAGUAAGCCUAAAAAUAUUUCUAUGGAUAUUAUUGGAACCUGUUUUUAAGUUCUUGUUCCUUUCUUCCAUUAUAUCUGUUUCCUCUAGGCUAAUCUUCUCUUCUUCCUUUUUCUGAUUAAUCUUGUUCCUUUUCUCUCUUGCUGUUUUAAUUUUUUAAUGAAAUACAUGUACACAUAUUUAAAGAGUCAAAUACUUACACAAUCCUUGUUAGAAAAAACAGUAUACUCCAAUAUCUUACUCCCCAGAUACACUACUUUAAAUUCUUUAAUGGAUUAUUUUAGCUUUUACUUUCAUAUUGCUAAAUAACAUACCCAUAUUUUGGAUUUUAUUUUUUUUUAUUUUUAGUUUUGGGCAUAUUUAUUGACAUCCUAUAAUGGAAGAGUAAGAUAUAGCUCUUUGUACACACCUGCACCCACAAUUUACUCACAUUGCCUGUCCUCUACUCCCCAAUACAGCUAUACCAUAGUUUACAUUUGGCCAAUAGUCAGCAUUUAUAUUGCUAUUAUUAUGUAAAUGCUAUCAACAGCUAAGUCUUAUAAUUUGAUUUCUUUUUCUUUGGUACACAACUUCUGUUUUCCUUGAAGUUAAUGUUAUCUUUCCUAUUUUUGCUCAGUUUUCUAUAUAAUUCUCAUUAAUUUGUCCCCAAAACCUAGCCCCUGAUAUAUAAUGUUCUUUCUACUAUCUAUCUAUCUAUUCUUAAGGUGACAUAAGUAUUGCCCUUACUAUGUAUGUGUCAGGCACUAUUCUAAGCACUUAUGGAUUCAUUUAAAGCUCACAACAGCACUAACAGGUAGGUAUGUUAUUAUCCCCCAUUUAAUGGGAGGCAUGAAGACAAGUUCACAGCCCGUAAGUGAAAGAGCCCAUAUGAUCUGAUCCCAGAGUUUGUGCUAACCCCUCACACAUUACAGGACCUCUUGGUAGUUCUUCCAUCCAUCCCACCACUCUGAAGAGCCUCUAUAUGAGCUCCUCCUGCCUAUUCUAGCUGGCCUGAUUGAGUUCUAGCCUUAUUACUCAGCAGUCACCUCAGGCUUUCCUUUCAUCACCAUCAUGAGGACUUCUUUUGCCUUUCUUUAAUAUUGAUUUUCUUGCUUCCUAGGUCCCAUGACUUCAUCUUCCUUGGAAAUCUCCUUGUUUUGGCAGAGCACAUCCUCUGCUCACUUCCUAAAAAAAAAUGCGUGAGACCAAUUUUUUAAGACCUUCUAUGUCUGAAGAUGUCUUUAUUCUACGUUCACUCUAGUUGAGAGUCUGGCUGUACAAAAUCCACGUUGGAAAACGUUGCACUCAGGAUGUCAAUGUUCCCUGCAGACAUUGUUCCAUUAUCUUCUAUCAUCUAGUGUUAUUUUUGACAAGUUCAAUGAUAUUCUGAUUCUUGAUUCUUGAUUCUUUGUUUGGAACCUGUUUCUUCCCUUCCUUGAAAGGAAUUAGCAUCUUUCUCUUUGUUUUUAGCAUUUUCGAUUUUUGCACCAAUGCAUGUUAGUGCCUAGAAAAUUAUGUCCUUCAUUCAGAGAAAUUUAUUGAAUUACUGCUUUCAUUAUUUCCUCUCUGCUCUUUACUAGAUUUCUCCUCUUUUUGGAAUUUCUAUUAUUGAGCUAUUGGGUGUCUUAGAAAAGUCUUCCAAUUUCUGGUCUCUUAUGUUUUCUCUUCUCUUUAUGUUCUGCUGUUUUGGAGAGUUCCUCUGCUCUAUCUUUCAAUCUUUCUAGCUUUUGUUUUCGUUGUCACAUUUUUAACUUCUAAGAGCUCUGGUUCUUUGAAUAUCCUCUGACUUUCUUCUCUUUAUUUUCUAACAGCAUCUCUUUUUAUGAGUUUCAUGCAGUCAGUAACUUUCUUAUCUCUCAGAGGAUAUUAAUGGUAACUGCCUUUAAGGUUUCCUUCUUUCUGACUAGAAGCCCUGUGGCAUGUAUAAGCUGAUUGACUGUGGGUUCACUCUAGGCUGUCCAGGCCAGGUCACUGCCUUAGGGCAGCAGUUCUCCAAUUUUUUUGGUAUUAGGAUCUCUUUAUACUUGUAUAAAAUUAUUGAGGAUUCCAAAGAGAUUUUCAGAAACAUAAGGAGUGGAGGAGAAAAGAUAAAUUGUUUCAGCAGAAGACUUGAGUCAGGAAGAGUCCCAGCUCAGGAUAAGAACUGAAAGUGUGCAUGAAGUAUAGAGGAUAAGGUUGGGAAUGACAGAAUAUUGGAGACACAGGCUCAGGCCACAUAUUGCCAGAUUAUGUAGUACAAGUUAAGGACCUAAGAUCUCAGGAAGAACCAUGGAAGGGUUUUCAUCUGGAGAGUGAUAUAAUCAAAUAUAGCCUUUUUAGAAGCCCAUUCUGGCUGCAGUCUAAAAAUGGAAUAGAAAAGGAGCAACUCUGGAAGCAGCAAUAUUAGAUUAGGGGCUCCAGAAACAUCCAGAGAAGACAUAACAUGGCCUUGAAUAGAGCAGCUGGCAAGGGAGUUGGAGAGAAGUGAAUAGACUUGAGAGAUAUUUUGAAGAUGGAAUCAUCACAACUGGGUGACAGACUGGAUUGGGGAGGGGGCAGGUGAGACACUGAAAUGAGUCAUGGAUAUUCCAUGGACUUUUGCCUUGAGCAAAUGAGUCAGUUAUGACUUUUUCAUUGAAAUAUGGAAGUUACAAGUUUAAGAGCAGCUAUUUAUUUAUUUAGUCAUUAAUUUGUUAAUUAUGUUGAAUUAUCUGAGCCAAAUUAUUCUAGAUUCCAAAUCUCUAUCAUUACUUAAUAAAUAAUAAUUAAUAUUUGUUAAACACAUUCAAGAUCUGUUUCAAAUGUCGUAUAUAAAAACUCAUUUAUUCCUCAUAAGAACCUUAUGAAUUGGGGAUUAUUAUUAUUCUUAUUUUAUAUUUAAGAAAUGGAGGCACAGACUGGUUAAGUAAACUAUCCAAGGACCCUAGUAAGCAAGCAACACUACUAAAUGUUGGUGCAGGGAUGUGAAGAAUCUGAGUCUAUAGACCAUGCUGAUAACCACUAGGCACGCUGUUCAGUUGUGUAUGUGUGUGUGUGUGUGUGUGUGUCUCCUAGCAAGUCUUAGGUUUACAUGCAAAUAAAUUGAUUGUGGAAUCCAUUUUCUUUACUGAUAAUUCAAUAUCUUCUAUUUCCAUCUAUUUAAUCAUCAACUGUUUAUUGAGUAACCUUAUAUUUAUCAGGCCUUGAGUUAGAUAAAAUUUCAGCUAUGAAAAACCUAAUCCAUGCCCUUAAUUUUAUGUCUAGUAGGGAUCGGAAACAGGUAAAAAGACAAUGACAACACAAUGUGACAAGAUAUGUUCAGCCGCAAUGGAGGCACAGAGGAAGAACACCUAAACAGACUACAUUAGAGGUCUCAGGACAGGCUUCUUGUAGGAGUCAAGCAGGAGCUGCAUUUUAGUGGACAAGUCAGAGUCAUAUAUGUGAAGAAAGGAGGUAGGAGAGGCUUUAAGACAGAGAGCUCUGUGUAUAGAGAAAGAGAAGCAACUGAAAAUCAAAUAGAUUUGGAAAACUAAAGCCUGUACUGUUUAGACCUUCCCAACCUCCUUCAUGUCAUAGCACUUAUAAAAAAAACUGAAGAUAUUAAUAUGUCACCCGAGGAUAUGAGGGUGCUUGCAGGUCAGUAUAUAUAUAUAUAGGCCAGAGCUCAAGUUGAUUCUGACACGCACAGUAAUCUUGAGGGUCAUGACUUCCACCUUUUCAAAAGCAUCAAUAUGCACACUGCCAAAGACUCAGAACAAAUGAUGAUAUUUGGGCAAAAAGUUGGAGAAAUAGAUAUUUGUAUAUAAAAAUAUAAGAUAUUUUUAUCUAAGGCAAAACUAAACAUUAGUUUUAUUUGGAAGGAGAAAAUAGUUAGCUGGAGGGAUGAAAUAGGAAGGACACUUAUCACUGUCUUCCAUUUCAUCUAUUUUCAAUUUUGGUCCAUGGGAAAUAUUACUUCCUCACAUAAAUACAAAUUCACACUUUGCCAGGUUCAUGGAUUUAAAAAGGGGUAGAGAAUAAGUAUCUGUUUAAUUAUAUUAAAAACAAGGGCUCUUUUACCAUUUUAUGUCCUCUGACCAUAUUAUCAAGCAUAAUUGCUUACUUUGAGCAAUUUAAAUCAGUCACAUUUUAAACAAUUGGCUGAACUGUCUAGUGCUAUUUCUUAUAAUGUUCAUUUGGCUUGUUCAUAUGUAUAUGUUAAUCAUAAUAAUCAGGAUUUAACAACUUCAAAGUUUCCAAAAAUUGGAUUGUCAUGUAGAAAAACCUUAUCACCUGGAGAAGAAUUUUGACCUUGACAGUUUUGUUCCAAACUUAUGGGCAAAAUUUUAUGACCAAGCCAGUAGUAGACAGCUUCACCUGCUUCUCCAGGGAAAUAAGGCCAGGAUGGAAGGCAGAUUCAGGGGUUAAAUGUCAGGAUAUAAAUGACAUGUGCAGAGAGGAAGAAGAACUGUAAAGGCCUGGAAAUGGUUCUCUGAGGAAGUUGCAACAUCCCAUAUCUGAGAUCAUCUUGCCCUUGGAUCUCAAGGAGAUUUUUCUCACUGAGCUGAAGUCUAGCCUUCCCAACGGAAUAGCUGAGCACAAAAUUAUAGAAAUUAAAGAUGGUUUCAUGCAAUCUCUUCAUUUUACAACUGCAAAAAAUAUGCUCAUGGAAGUUAAAUAAAUAGCCUGAAUUAGUUGCAAAGCUAGACUAGAACGCAAGUCUCUGCAUUAAACCCUGCAUUUAUGAACUUACCAUUGGAUAGAAUGGACAGAAUGGGCAAUGCCAUGCCACGAUUCAAAUCUCCACAGAUUCCAGUUACCUGAGAUAAACUGGGCUCAGUAGAGUAUUCAAUCCACAAAUUAAAAGACAGCCCUUGAGAAAAAGAUUCCAUAGUCAAGUUCAAGGAUCAAUAACAUUACCUUGAGGUUAAAAAGAGAUUUUUUGUGUGUGGUUGGUUGGUAAUUUGAUUAGUUGGUUUUAUGGCAGCAGUCCUUAGGACCUUUACAUCUGCAUUGAUCUCUAAGAGGGGAAUUAAAAACAAUUCAUUCCAAGUUUAUAUGCUACAGAGCAUCAUUUUCAUGGAACACCUAUUAUCUUACUUCCAUUGAGCACAGCAUAAGAAAUGUUAACUUACAGAAUAAGGUUCAAAAUGCUUCAUGAUGACCUUCAAGUUUUUCUACAAUACGAAUCCAAACUUCUUUUAAAUCUCUAUACUCCAGUUAUCACCUUAGUCUAUUUUCAGACUUUCCAUAGAAUUCAUGACUUCUCUAUUUGUUUUAUACUCUUCUCCUGAGACUGAACCAACCAUGCUUCCAUCUCCACUAUGCAGAACGUCAUAACCCUUAUUUAUGGAAUUAUCUCUAAUCCUUUCUAUUUGAAUUCUUCUAUGUUAUUGUUUUUAUCAUUCCAUAAUCCUUUCUUCUACUUGAUAAACAUUUGGAAAUUGCCUCUGUAUGCCAGAUACUAUUCUGGGUACUGGGGAUAUAACCAUGAACAAAACAAAAGUUACUGCCCCAUGGAGCUUACACUCUUGUGAGUAUGUAGAGGUGGGCAGAGAGAAAAUUCAGAAAAUUGAUAAAUACACUUAUAUACAACAUUUUAUCUCUUAUAUGGCAUUUUUUACAAUACCUUAGGGUAUUUACACAUUUGACUCCUUUUAAAGUUGCUGAGGAUAAUACCGUAUUAGUCUGCUCAGGCUGCCACAAAAAAAUACCAUGGACUGGCUGGCUUAAACAACAGAAAUUUACUUCUCACAGUUCUGGAAGCUAGAAGCCCAAAAAUCAAGGUGCUGGCAAGGAAAAAAAUGGAUUUUGAUCAAAUUGAAGCAGACCCUUAUGUGGAGGAAACUACUACAGUGAGCAAGCAGCCAUAAAACCAGCAAAGAAAACGAAAGAAAAUAUGGACUAGGUCCCUGAUGGAAAGAGCUACUCUUAUGUGUUCUUAGUAUGAGACCAAUGACCUGAUUUGUUAUGAAACUAAAUGUCCCUUUUCAAAUUCUAACCUGAUUUUUCUUGUACUUUAUGUUAACAUAUAUACUUUUUGAAUAUAGAAGCUCUAUGUUUAAAAAUAA